RNAcentral lists this ribosomal RNA (370 nucleotides) under uncultured bacterium. RNAcentral's name for it is "bacterial SSU rRNA". It matches the Rfam family "Bacterial small subunit ribosomal RNA", at positions 547 to 916 of the family's 1533-position model. The record is from RNAcentral.
GGAUUUACUGGGUGUAAAGGGCGUGUAGGCGGGAGAGCAAGUCAGAAGUGAAAUCUAUGGGCUUAACCCAUAAACUGCUUUUGAAACUGUUCUUCUUGAGUAUCGGAGAGGCAGGCGGAAUUCCUAGUGUAGCGGUGAAAUGCGUAGAUAUUAGGAGGAACACCAGUGGCGAAGGUGGCCUGCUGGACGACAACUGACGCUGAGGCGCGAAAGCGUGGGGAGCAAACAGGAUUAGAUACCCUGGUAGUCCACGCUGUAAACGAUGAAUACUAGGUGUGGGAGGACUGACCCCUUCCGUGCCGCAGUUAACACAAUAAGUAUUCCACCUGGGGAGUACGAUCGCAAGAUUGAAACUCAAAGGAAUUGACGG